GAUGAACGCUGGCGGCGUGCUUAACACAUGCAAGUCGAACGGUGAAGCAGGAGCUUGCUCUUGUGGAUCAGUGGCGAACGGGUGAGUAACACGUGAGCAACCUGCCCCUGACUCUGGGAUAAGCGCUGGAAACGGCGUCUAAUACUGGAUAUGUGAUGUGACCGCAUGGUCUGCAUCUGGAAGGAAUUUCGGUUGGGGAUGGGCUCGCGGCCUAUCAGCUUGUUGGUGAGGUAAUGGCUCACCAAGGCGUCGACGGGUAGCCGGCCUGAGAGGGUGACCGGCCACACUGGGACUGAGACACGGCCCAGACUCCUACGGGAGGCAGCAGUGGGGAAUAUUGCACAAUGGGCGGAAGCCUGAUGCAGCAACGCCGCGUGAGGGAUGACGGCCUUCGGGUUGUAAACCUCUUUUAGCAGGGGAAGAAGCGAAAGUGACGGUACCUGCAGAAAAAGCACCGGCUAACUACGUGCCAGCAGCCGCCGUAA
Molecule: ribosomal RNA, 485 nt
Filed under: uncultured bacterium
Lineage: Bacteria
Description: partial 16S ribosomal RNA
Rfam family: Bacterial small subunit ribosomal RNA
Source: RNAcentral